Molecule: non-coding RNA, 72 nt
Organism: Ictidomys tridecemlineatus (thirteen-lined ground squirrel)
Lineage: Eukaryota; Metazoa; Chordata; Mammalia; Rodentia; Sciuridae
Source: Rfam
UGGAUUGCAGCUGAGUGGUAGAGUGCUUGUGUAGUGUACAUGAGGCCCUGGGUUCUAUCCCCAGCAAAUCAU